UGGAUAUCACAACAAAACAACAUAUCUAAAAUAUACCAUAAAAUAUCUAAUAUGCACCAAGACAAACCCACAUCAAUCCUUAUAGCAAGUCUUAUGGAUAUCACAACAAACCUACUAUGGUUUUUGAUAAGAUAUUGACUAGGCAUGAAGGAAGGCAUAUGUAGUGUUCAAAAUACUGAGCUACCAUCAUUCAAGAUUCAAACUAAUCCAAUUGGCUAGGAAAGUGUUAAGAUUGGUGGGGGUCCGCCCGUUGUUUUUCUUAGACACCAAUAAAAUUGGCCCGGCC
This 286-nucleotide long non-coding RNA is filed under the name Elaeis guineensis (African oil palm). Its description in RNAcentral is "long non-coding RNA (EGUI_LNC049649)". Lineage: Eukaryota; Viridiplantae; Streptophyta; Magnoliopsida; Arecales; Arecaceae. The record is from RNAcentral.